This 253-nucleotide ribosomal RNA is filed under the name uncultured bacterium. RNAcentral describes it as "partial 16S ribosomal RNA". It matches the Rfam family "Bacterial small subunit ribosomal RNA", at positions 524 to 776 of the family's 1533-position model. The record is from RNAcentral.
UACGGAGGGUGCGAGCGUUGUCCGGAAUCAUUGGGCGUAAAGGGCGCGUAGGUGGCCCGGUCAGUCAGUGGUGAAAGCGCGGGGCUCAACUCCGCGUCAGCCAUUGAUACUGCUGGGCUGGAGCACUGUAGAGGCAGGCGGAAUUCCGGGUGUAGCGGUGGAAUGCGUAGAGAUCCGGAAGAACACCGGUGGCGAAGGCGGCCUGCUGGGCAGUUGCUGACACUGAGGCGCGACAGCGUGGGGAGCAAACAGG